GUUCAUUGUUGCUCCAUUUUUGGUCCUAGCUAAGAUUUAUGGGCACUGUGUCCUCCCUGUGUCUGGAGAGGUAAAUUGGUCCCUGACAGACACCUCUCCCCACUCGCUGUGGUUACUAUGGAAACAGGCAUGUCAUAACAGUUCCUAUGAUACAGUGUGCAGAGCUGCUGUUCUUACAGAAUGAUGGCAUAUCUUCUAAGAGCAAGAAAUUUUAUGAAAUGCAAAAAAGCAAAGGCAAUAGCAUAAAGAUACACACAUACUUACAUAUAUAUGCAUAUACGCACAUAUAUGUACACACAUCCAUCUAAAGGACCCUUGAUCAGUGCCCCAAACAUAAUUAUUAGCGUAGUCACUCUUAAAAUAUAGAAGCUUGAGGCUUUUGAUAUUCUUCAGAUUUUCCAAAA
This is a long non-coding RNA of Canis lupus familiaris (dog), 404 nucleotides long. RefSeq lists it as uncharacterized. Lineage: Eukaryota; Metazoa; Chordata; Mammalia; Carnivora; Canidae. The record is from RefSeq and is a predicted model, not a curated record. The transcript is spliced from 2 exons.